Molecule: ribosomal RNA, 253 nt
Filed under: uncultured bacterium
Lineage: Bacteria
Description: partial 16S ribosomal RNA
Rfam family: Bacterial small subunit ribosomal RNA
Source: RNAcentral
UACAGAGGGGGCAAGCGUUAAUCGGAAUUACUGGGCGUAAAGCGUGCGUAGACGGUUAUUUAAGUCAGGUGUGAAAGCCCCGGGCUCAACCCGGGAAGUGCAUUUGAUACUGCGAAGCUUGAGUGCUAGAGAGGUUACUAGAAUACCUGGUGUAGUGGUGAAAUGCGUAGAUAUCAAGUGGAACACCAGUGGCGAAGGCGAGUCCCUGGACAACUCCUGACACUGAGGCACGAAAGCUAGGGGAGCAAACAGG